Molecule: ribosomal RNA, 253 nt
Filed under: uncultured bacterium
Lineage: Bacteria
Description: partial 16S ribosomal RNA
Rfam family: Bacterial small subunit ribosomal RNA
Source: RNAcentral
UACGGAGGGUGCGAGCGUUAUCCGGAAUUACUGGGUUUAAAGGGUGCGUAGGCGGCGUAAUAAGUCAGAGGUGAAAGGCACGAGCUUAACUGGUGAAUUGCCUUUGAAACUGUUAUGCUAGAAUUGAGUUGAGGUUAGCGGAAUGUGACAUGUAGCGGUGAAAUGCAUAGAUAUGUCAUAGAACACCAAUUGCGUAGGCAGCUAACUGGGCUUUAAUUGACGCUGAGGCACGAAAGCGUGGGGAGCGAACAGG